UGGGAUCCAUGGUGAUCUGAGAAUAGGGA
This 29-nucleotide non-coding RNA is filed under the name Mus musculus (house mouse). The record is from RNAcentral. Lineage: Eukaryota; Metazoa; Chordata; Mammalia; Rodentia; Muridae.